Molecule: ribosomal RNA, 301 nt
Filed under: uncultured bacterium
Lineage: Bacteria
Description: partial 16S ribosomal RNA
Rfam family: Bacterial small subunit ribosomal RNA
Source: RNAcentral
CAGCCGCGGUAAAACGGAGGGGGCUAGCGUUGUUCGGAAUUACUGGGCGUAAAGCGCACGUAGGCGGCUUGGUAAGUUAGAGGUGAAAGCCCGGAGCUCAACUCCGGAAUUGCCUUUAAGACUGCCGAGCUAGUAGGUGAGAGAGGUAAGUGGAAUUCCGAGUGUAGAGGUGAAAUUCGUAGAUAUUCGGAAGAACACCAGUGGCGAAGGCGGCUUACUGGCUCAUUCUAGACGCUGAGGUGCGAAAGCGUGGGGAGCAAACAGGAUUAGAUACCCCCGUAGUCCCUGUCUCUUAUACACA